CCUCCCCCCAUUUUAGGGGACCAAAAGUAUUGGACAAAUUCACUUAUAUGUGUCAUAAGAGUUCAACGGGACCUUCAUGUUUUUCGACAGGACCCCCAAAAGCGAGAUGAAGAUCUCUUACGCCCAGUGUGGUGACGUGAUGAGGGCGCUGGGACAGAACCCCUCCAUCGGAGAGGUCAUGAGAGUCCUAGGGAAACCCAAGAGCAAAAAAGUAAACAAAACAAUAUGGGGAUGAGAUAGAGAAGAUGACAGAGAAAGAAGUCGAGGUAGUGAUGGAAGGACAAGAGGACGGCAAAGGCUGCAUUAACUACGAAGCCUUUGUGAAACACAUCAUGUCUGGGUGAAUGAUCAAAAUUCAAGAUGUCGCUGACCUGAAUCUUUCUUUUGUUCCUCUCCCCUUUUGUUCAAAUCUUUGUCCUCUAUGUGUGUGACUCAUUCUGUCUAUGUGUGUGAGAGUGGAUGUGUGUGUCACAACGUUUUUGACAAUGAAAAUAAAUGUUCAGGGUCAAACAUCUAGGUCCAAAGCAAUGUUAAUCUUUAUUUCCAUGGUGUGGUUGAGUGACUGUUGCAAAGUGACAAUAUUGAGAGAUGGUAACUAUGUCCUAUAUGGUGUGCACUUCCUCUGAAAUAGGAGUGCGGUGUAAUCCCUAAAGUGGGGGAGAUCCUCUCCUUCUUUGGUGGUCCCAUUGAAAUCCAUUACGUAAUGGGUCUCUAGCGCAUUCUUAGGUUUCACAUGUCAAAAGCCUGCGUCUGUCACGUACGCAUAUUUAGACUAGCUAAUGGAGCGAUGA
Oncorhynchus gorbuscha (pink salmon) is the source of this 791-nucleotide long non-coding RNA. RefSeq lists it as uncharacterized. The record is from RefSeq and is a predicted model, not a curated record. NCBI's taxonomy places the organism in Eukaryota, Metazoa, Chordata, Actinopteri, Salmoniformes, Salmonidae. The transcript has 5 exons.